AUAUUUUCGAUAGAUUCAAACAAAUUUCGGAACAGUUUCCCAGGUGCUUUCGGUAUUCCUGUUCCGUGGACGUGAAUAUUUCCAUCUAAAACAGUUUCCUGCUUUCGGCGUCGUCGGCAAUCAAAAUUAAUGCAGAAAUCGAGAAUCCGCCCGACAGUCCGCAGGGCAUUCCGUUCUUCACCAAAUGCAUCGCCAGCGAGCAGCCCAUCCGGACUGGAUCCAUUCUUCCCUUCCCUUUGGAGGACACUGGUCUGAGGCAGCUGUGGUCCAGGUCUUCCCGAUCUACAGAGCCGCAGACAAUUGUCUUCCAUGGAACCUCUUGCCCUCCAGCCUUCAGGUCGUCUCCUCGUGGGUGGGGAUGAGCCUUGUUUCCAUCUGCCAGUCUCGGAAGUCACCUGUCCAGACCUGCUAGGAUUGAUCGCUGUGCCACCUCUAAGAAGAGCUGAUUCCGGCGGCUCCGAAAGCACAAAAAUGCUUUAAGUGAAAAUAGCCACGGCAUCGCGGGAAGCAACAGGAAGCCGAAACAUGCUGACAACUUGGCCAUUCCAUUUUCUUACAAUAAAAUCAAUCAGUGUGCUUAUA
This is a long non-coding RNA of Drosophila persimilis, 582 nucleotides long. RefSeq lists it as uncharacterized. NCBI's taxonomy places the organism in Eukaryota, Metazoa, Arthropoda, Insecta, Diptera, Drosophilidae. The transcript has 3 exons. The record is from RefSeq and is a predicted model, not a curated record.